UCAGGAGAGCAAGGCCGCCCCCCGCCAGCAGGCCCCUCCCCCUUCCCACCAGGGCAUCCCACCGACCAACCAACGGAGAUCUCAUCGUUAUGCUGGGUUCCGCCCUCAGAAUGCCCAUCGGCCUGGCUUCACCGGCCCACCGCAGGGCUGUGAUGUGAGGACAUCCGGGAUGACGACUAGAAUGACCCUUGACCCUGUCUGCAUGUCUGGGGACGGACACCCACAGAAGCCCAAACCUCACCUGUACAGCGAGAGUUUAGUGGAGCGAGUGACUGCGGUGGGAGGCCGGUGUCCGGUAAACGCACCACCAGGAUUCACCCAGUCGGACCGAGGCCCCAGACGGAACCUCUUCUAAACCCUUUACCCCAUUGAGGCGGCGGCCAUUUUAAAUGAUUUGCCUUUUGGUUUAUAGUUUAUUUGUUUUUCUUCAUGUCAUUGUUUACUUAGUAAUAAAUACUUGUUUUGUGCAUGUUGGUA
Long non-coding RNA from Oncorhynchus keta (chum salmon), 477 nucleotides. RefSeq lists it as uncharacterized. Lineage: Eukaryota; Metazoa; Chordata; Actinopteri; Salmoniformes; Salmonidae. The record is from RefSeq and is a predicted model, not a curated record. The transcript is spliced from 4 exons.